GUGGGGAAUAUUGGUCAAUGGGCGCAAGCCUGAACCAGCCAUGCCGCGUGAAGGAAUAAGGCCCUAUGGGUCGUAAACUUCUUUUGUGGUGGAGCAAUAAGGUGUACGUGUACACCGAUGAGAGUACAUCACGAAUAAGCAUCGGCUAACUCCGUGCCAGCAGCCGCGGUAAUACGGAGGAUGCAAGCGUUAUCCGGAUUUAUUGGGUUUAAAGGGUGCGUAGGCUGUUUGGAAAGUCAGGGGUGAAAGCCCGGCGCCUAACGCCGGAACUGCCUUUGAUACUUCCGAGCUGGAAUACGGAUGCCGUGGGAGGAAUGAGUAGUGUAGCGGUGAAAUGCAUAGAUAUUACUCAGAACACCGAUUGCGAAGGCAUCUCACGAAUCCGUCAUUGACGCUGAGGCACGAAAGCGUGGGGAUCAAACAGG
This 425-nucleotide ribosomal RNA is filed under the name uncultured rumen bacterium. RNAcentral describes it as "bacterial SSU rRNA". It matches the Rfam family "Bacterial small subunit ribosomal RNA", at positions 354 to 776 of the family's 1533-position model. The record is from RNAcentral.